CAGACGGUAAAUCGAGCCCUAUACGGGACUAAUUUGCUAGAGUUACUUACGCGGGGGUUAUAAAGUACUAAUGGUGUAGAGAUAAAAUUUUGUAAUACCAUUCUUCGAAAGAAGAGUUAUGGCACUGAUAAAGGCGAAAGCAUCCCCUAAUGUGAUAACUGACGUUGAAGGACGAAGGCUUUGGAUAGCAAAUAGGAUUAGAUACCCUAGUAGUCUAAGCAGAGAAUUAUGAGUGUCAUAAAUUAGAGAUAAACCUUUAUUUUAUAAAUGAAAGUGUAAGCACUCCACCUCAAGAGUAAUUUGGCAACAUUGGAACUGAAAUCAUUAGACCGUUUCUGAAACCAGUAGUGAAGUAUGUUGUUUAAUUUGAUAAUCCGCAAAAAACCUUACCACAGCUUGAAUGUUUAUAUUUUUUAUAGAUACAAGCGUUGCACGGCUGUCUUCAGUUAAUGUCGUGAGACUUUGGUUAGAUCCAUUAAAUUAACGCAAACCCUUACUUUAUUUUUGAAUAAAGUCGUUCCCCACUAUAUUGGAUAUGAUAACAGGGACUAAGACAAGUCAUCAUGGCCUGAAUGCUGUGGGCUAUAGACGUGCCACAUGGACCUUUACAAAAGGAUGUUAAAUUGCGAAAUUAGACUAAUCCC
Molecule: ribosomal RNA, 644 nt
Filed under: Biatora ligni-mollis
Lineage: Eukaryota; Fungi; Ascomycota; Lecanoromycetes; Lecanorales; Ramalinaceae
Description: SSU rRNA
Rfam family: Bacterial small subunit ribosomal RNA
Source: RNAcentral